AUAAAUCUCAGGGGCUUUUUUGCAAAACAGUCACGACGUACCACAGAAGCGAUCAGCGCUUUAUUAUUAGGGAGAGAUUAGGGGAGAUAUCUGAUAUGUGGGCCAUGUGCCCACAACAAUAUUAAAUUUAUUUUUUAUGGGGGAGGGCCCGCCACAGUGGCUUGCUGCUGGGGCCCUCGGGUGUCGCCCAGUGCGUUGCACUAUUGCCUGGACAGGCGCACCCCAA
This 226-nucleotide small nucleolar RNA is filed under the name Hordeum vulgare. RNAcentral describes it as "U2 spliceosomal RNA". It matches the Rfam family "U2 spliceosomal RNA", at positions 54 to 192 of the family's 192-position model. Rfam says of the family: U2 is a small nuclear RNA (snRNA) component of the spliceosome (involved in pre-mRNA splicing). Complementary binding between U2 snRNA (in an area lying towards the 5' end but 3' to hairpin I) and the branchpoint sequence (BPS) of the intron results the bulging out of an unpaired adenosine, on the BPS, which initiates a nucleophilic attack at the intronic 5' splice site, thus starting the first of two transesterification reactions that mediate splicing. The record is from RNAcentral. Lineage: Eukaryota; Viridiplantae; Streptophyta; Magnoliopsida; Poales; Poaceae.